Molecule: long non-coding RNA, 536 nt
Organism: Myotis davidii
Lineage: Eukaryota; Metazoa; Chordata; Mammalia; Chiroptera; Vespertilionidae
Exons: 2
Source: RefSeq, a predicted model, not a curated record
UGAACGUUCCAUAGUCUCAGGAGAUGAAUAAAAUAUUACUCUAGCUUUGUAGUAUCACCUUGGAAUUAAAUUGGUAUUAUACUGAGCAGCUGAUGGGAUGGGGAGAGCACCCUUCCAUUCUAAAUAGGAUUGUGAUGCUCUGGAUAGAAAUGCGUGCAUUUUCAUCUUUCUGUGAUAAAAAGUGGCUUUUAAUGUUUUGUAUUAUAGUAUGUUGGCAGUUUCAUUCCAUGAUUAUUCAUUCACUCACAUGUAUUUUUAUUUUUAGCUCUAAGCGAAAGACAUGAGGCCUAAGACUGACAAUGAGGUUGUUUUGAGGCCAUCUGAUUUCUGACUAGAAGGUGUGUGCGAUCGCCUCGUCCUGAAACCACUUCAAACAGAAUGGUUUGCAAUUUUUUUUGGUGAUGGCAUAUUCAGAAUCUUGGAUCCCUAAGUUGAAUAUGUUGGAAAUGUUUUAGGAACUCUGGAUAUUAUUGUUUUUGUAUAUAUAAUGACUUAGUAGGCGAAUUAGUAGGUUUAAUAAAAAGUAUAUAAAAGAA